CCUAGCCUCCUUCCUCUCCUGGUCGUUGGGGAAGCAGGACGGCCACCUCUGCUGGACGCCCUUCCCUGGUCGACGACGAGCGAUGCGGGCUGACACGGUGGCGCCCUUCCGUUGUGGAGUACCGUACUAGGACGACGGCGGUUAAGGUCAACGCCCUGCUCGACGCCCCCAUCUGCUGCUCGAUGCGCCCAUCCCCUCGCUGGUUGAGCUCAACGCCACCUUGCUCUGCCUCCGGCAGUCAUUUCAUCCAAUCUGGCUGGUCCGCUCCCCACCUCGGCGGCUCCUUCAGUCCGGCAGCACACCACGCUCAAGCCUCCACCACCCCAACUCCUCAAGGUAUAAGAUUUGCUUUUUGUUUAUACAGAGGAUGCAAGAUUCUACUGCUGCCGUGUAAUAAGUAGCACUUGCAGUUACAGUAGACAAGGAGCUCCGCUCUACCUCUCAUCUCUCUCCCUGUCCUGGUGGUCACGGGCUGAUGUUGCUGCUCCUCUCGUUCAGGAUCUAUCUCUUUCUCUUUGUCUCUCACCCUCUCAUGGAUUGACAAUUGCAUUCUUCCCAAAUUAAUGUGUGCCUCUGUUCUUGAUAUUACGCCCACACCAUGUUUGAUGUUAUGCUUAUGAGGAGUUGAACUUCAUUUUUUUUCAGGCUUUUCUUUGGUGUAUCAGGCAUUCAGGCUGGUGUAAUUUGUUUUCAGAAGUGAACAUGUUGUACAGUCCA
This 717-nucleotide long non-coding RNA is filed under the name Triticum aestivum (bread wheat). Its description in RNAcentral is "long non-coding RNA (TAES_LNC022057)". The record is from RNAcentral. Lineage: Eukaryota; Viridiplantae; Streptophyta; Magnoliopsida; Poales; Poaceae.